UCAAAAACCAGUUCAUAGUCACAGUCAAUGACCAUAGACCAGUGGGGAAGGUUCGAAGUCGGACUCAGGACUCAGUGCUCAACACACAUACAAGCCCUGGGCCUACUGACACUGGUCUGUACGGGCUUCCGAAACCGGAAGCAGCAAUCCUUCAGACUGACUCAGGAUGGCCUAUAAUCUCGCCCUCCAGGUGUAGCCCAGCAGCAUGGAUAUCACCCAGGAGCUCACUACCAGUUACCAGCCCAGAGGCACUGAAUCAGAAUCUACCUUUUAACGAGGGCCCCAGGUGAGUCGUAUGCAUGCACACUCUACUUAAGAAGCCCUUCUCCGAGCUCCCCUCCACCCAUGAGGUUCCACAACGACCGUGUGAGUCCAUCUUGUUCGGCAAACUUUGGCCAGCACACCGGCCAAGUGGGGGAGUCCGUGCAAGUCUUGGACACCAACAGUAUACAGAUGUGGGUCAACAAAGACAAGUACCUCCACUAUAGAGUAUCCAGCACUGUAUGAGAGUGGAAUUUUCCUGCUCCUUCCUUCAGUCUGGGCUGGGAACGCUCAGUCACAACAGAAUUUAACGGCGCACCAGCCUUGAUAACCGCUAAUACGUAUAGCUGCUUUCUAAGCGCCCGGCACUCUGCUAUGGACAUCACGUGCUUUAUUCCAGUUCUUCAGAGCGAUUCUGCGGGGUAGGUGGGACUCUUGAUUUUAAGGAUGCUGAAGCCAAGGUGCAGAACAAGAUGAAGAACAGCUCAAGGGCACACAGCACGUGGCGGAGGUGGUAUUUGUGCAUUAACCCACAGCGCGGUGCUGUCUUCCCGUAUCGAUGUUCACAGGAAAAGCAAGAAGCCUGUUGGACUAUGUGUGGACCACCCUCAUCGCGAGCGUCCUCCUCAAAUCCGGAGGCCACAUUUUAAGAGCGGGUAGAGGGACAAGGGAGUUGAUCAAACAUAGGAGGGCCUAGAAAACAUGAGAGAAAUGGCUAAAUCAGGCUAAAUCGAUACACUAGUGCCCAAAUCGCAGCCUGCCCCUGUUCUUGUUAAUAAAGUUUUAUUGGAACACA
Felis catus (domestic cat) is the source of this 1057-nucleotide long non-coding RNA. RefSeq lists it as uncharacterized. The record is from RefSeq and is a predicted model, not a curated record. NCBI's taxonomy places the organism in Eukaryota, Metazoa, Chordata, Mammalia, Carnivora, Felidae. The transcript has 2 exons.